GGCGGUAUGGCCGAGUGGUAAGGCGGGGGACUGCAAAUCCUUUUUCCCCAGUUCAAAUCCGGGUGCCGCC
Molecule: transfer RNA, 70 nt
Filed under: Metagentiana rhodantha
Lineage: Eukaryota; Viridiplantae; Streptophyta; Magnoliopsida; Gentianales; Gentianaceae
Description: tRNA-Cys
Rfam family: tRNA
About the family: Transfer RNA (tRNA) molecules are approximately 80 nucleotides in length.
Source: RNAcentral